AAGCCGAUCUGUAUAAUACAGAUCAACACUACUAAUUAGAUGUCGAAAAACUACCAAGUUCAAGAACCCAUAAGUAAGUUUGUGAUGAAUUGGGGCUUGUAGAUCAGUUGGAAGAUCGCUGCCUUUGCAAGGCAGAGGCCAUGGGUUCGAGUCCCAGCAAGUCCACUUACAUUUUUUAAUGCACCGAGUAAUUAAUUUUAUUUGGGAAGGAUAGAUUUGUUUAAAUACCCACCCGGUAUUUAUGAGAAAUAUUUUCUCUUAUGUAUUUAGCUUUUUUGCUUUUGCAUAAAACAAAGUGAAAUCGUGUAUAUGAAUGGCAUAUUAGACGCUCACUGAAUAUAAGUGAGAGUGAUUCUGGUAC
Molecule: transfer RNA, 361 nt
Filed under: uncultured archaeon
Lineage: Archaea
Description: 16S-23S ribosomal RNA intergenic spacer
Rfam family: tRNA (bases 93-165)
Source: RNAcentral